AUUGUUUUUGAGAUACGGCGCGACAUGUAAAAAAAACCCUCCCCUUUUUUACAAAAUACUCAAUAACUCAAAAAUAAAAUUUUGAGUCAUCACCAAAAAGUAUACAGAUCUUUAUAUUAAUAAAACAAAGAAGUGUGUAAAGUUUUAAGCAAUAAUCAUAAAUCGUUUUUGAGAUACGGCACGACAUGUAAAAAACCCCUCCCCCUUUUUUACAAAAUACUCAAUAACUCAAAAAUAAAAUUUUGAAUCAUCACCAAAAAGUAUACGGAUCUUUAGAUUAAUAUAACAAAGAAGUGUGUAAAGUUUUAAGCAAUAAUCAUAAAUCGUUUUUGAGAUACGGCGCGACAUGUAAAAAACCUCCCCCCUUUUUUACAAAAUACUCAAUAACUCAAAAAUGAAAUUUUGAUUCAUCACCAAAAAGUAUACAGAUAUUAAGAUUAAUAUAACUAAGAAGUGUGUAAAGUUUUAAGCAAUAAUCAAGAAUCGUUUUUGAGAUACGGUGCGAC
RNAcentral lists this long non-coding RNA (506 nucleotides) under Mytilus galloprovincialis (Mediterranean mussel). Lineage: Eukaryota; Metazoa; Mollusca; Bivalvia; Mytilida; Mytilidae. The record is from RNAcentral.